This 253-nucleotide ribosomal RNA is filed under the name uncultured bacterium. Its description in RNAcentral is "partial 16S ribosomal RNA". It matches the Rfam family "Bacterial small subunit ribosomal RNA", at positions 524 to 776 of the family's 1533-position model. The record is from RNAcentral.
UACAGAGGGUGCAAGCGUUGUUCGGAAUUAUUGGGCGUAAAGCGCGUGUAGGCGGCAUUGCAAGUCGGGUGUGAAAGCCCUCAGCUCAACUGAGGAAGUGCGCCCGAAACUGCUUUGCUUGAGUGCUGGAGAGGGUCGCGGAAUUCCCCAAGUAGAGGUGAAAUUCGUAGAUAUGGGGAGGAACACCGGUGGCGAAGGCGGCGACCUGGACAGUAACUGACGCUGAGACGCGAAAGCGUGGGGAGCAAACAGG